This 2441-nucleotide long non-coding RNA is filed under the name Piliocolobus tephrosceles (Ugandan red Colobus). RNAcentral describes it as "lncRNA (ENSPTEG00000021122.1)". The record is from RNAcentral. Lineage: Eukaryota; Metazoa; Chordata; Mammalia; Primates; Cercopithecidae.
ACAAUCAUUUUUUAUAAAAAUAUGCGAAUCUAAUUAUGCAUUAUGCAUUUUGUAUUUAAUUAAGUUUUUUCGAUAUCUUAAUUAAGAAAAAAUUGUAUAUUCAUAAAAAAAAAAAAAAAAAAAAAAAAAAGAAAAAAAAAAAAAAAUUGGAAUAGAACUAUUGCCAAUAUAUUUACUAUAAAUUAGAUAAAUAUAGAAACAAAAGGACCUUUCCAUUAAUCUUUUUUUUUUUUUUUUUUUUCUUCCUCCUUUUUCCUUAUUUAACUUUCUCUUUCUUUCCUUUUCUCCUACUUUUCCUUUUUUCUCUUUCUUCUUGUCUUUCCUUUUUUCUUUUUUUCUUUUUUUUUUUUUUUGUUUUUGUUGUGAAUUAUUUUUUCGAAUCAAAAAUGACAGAAGCAGAAAAAACAAAAAUACAGAAGCCAGAUUUUGACGCAUAUAAUGAAAAGUUGGAGAACAUAUUUAAGUCGAUUGAAGAAAUCAAAAAAAACUUGUAAGAAAAAUAAAAUAAAGAACUACACAAAUAAGUCUAUAUAUAUGCGCAUAUUGCACUAAUACAUACAUGUUGGUAAUUUAUUGGUAAUUUAUUGGUAAUUUAUUGGUAAUUUAUUGGUAAUUUAUUGGUAACUUAUUGUUUUUUUUUUUAUUUUUUAUUUUUUAUUUUUUUUUUUUUUUUUUUUAUUUCACAAAUAGUUAAAUAUUUUUUUAUAUAUGUUACUCAUUAUUUGAUUUAUAUUUGCAUCAUAAUAACCAAUGAUAUAAUUUUUGUUCGUUCGUUUGUUGGCUCACCCGUUCAUUUGUCAGUACACUCAUUUAAUUCGUUCACUUAUUUUUUUGUUAUAAUAGAACAACUUGCAAAAUGAGAUUAAAGUAGCGAGCAAAGCUAGAGAGGAAUAUAACAAAAAAAAAAAGAUAUGGUAGUUAAAAUAGAUUCUUAUCAAAAUGAAAUAGAUAGGUUAGAAAAAGAAAGAAGAACGUUAUUAGAAGAUGUGGAAAAAAAGCAAAAACAUAAAAAAGAAUUAAAAGUAAAUGCACAAAAUAUGAAAAAACAAUUAGGCUUUGAAAAAGAGGAGGAUAUAGAAAAAAAAAUUUCAGAAAUAGAAAAUAAAUUAAUGACUUCUACUAUAUCAAUAAAAGAAGAAAAAUUAUUAAUAAACCAAAUCCAAGUAUUAAAUAAAAAUAAGAGUUUAUUAUCUUCUUUUAGUAAACAAGAAGACGAGGCUAGUAAAUAUGACAAUGCAUCAAUAGCACCUUUAAAAAGCAAAAUCGACUCCAUUAGAGAAGAAAUAAACGAAUUUCGAAAUAAAAAAAAAAUUGAAAGAAAUAAACUUAAAGAAUUACAAAAUAAUUACCAAGAAAAAAAUAAUAAAUUAAAUGAAUUGAAUGUUUUAAGAGAUAACUAUUAUAAAAAAAUUAAUCAUUUUUUUGCUGAAAAAAGAAGUGUGGAAAUAGAACAAGAAGAAAAAAGACAACAAUUUAGAGAAUAUGAAUUGAGUUUAUUACAAGCAAAACAACAAAAACUAAAAGAAGAAAGAGAAAGAAAAAAUUUAGAAUUGGAAAAGGAAAAAUUAGAAAAACAAUUAGAGGAUAUUGACGUAGUACCAUUUAGAGAAGAAUUGGCAUUAAUUGAAAAUGUUUUAGCGUAUUUAAAAAGAUUGAAAGAAGAUGCAAAAGUAGAUGAACCGAAAAAACAACCAAGUAAUUUAACAAAAAAAAUUAAUGGACAUGUAGAACAAAUUUCCAAUAAUGACACAAAUGAUGCAGAUAUAACUGGUAAUGAUAAUAACAUAAAAGAAGAUGAAGAAGAUAUUAAUAAAGUAAAAACUGAUACAGAUAGUAACAAUAACAACAAUAUUAACAAUAAAAAAUCAAAAAAUAAAAAAGACAAGUACAAAGCAUUUAAAUUAGAUAUGAACAUUCUUUGUUAUUUUGUAACUGUUGGUAUAAAUCCACCUGUUAGUUUUGAUGAAAUCGAUGCAUGUGUUGUUAAAUUAAAUGAAAAAAAAAGUAUAUUCGAAAAAAAAAGACAAGAUAGUAUUCAAGAUGUAGAAUCACGAAGAUCUUCCUGUAUGGAAAAACUAAAAGAAAUCGAUGAGAAACUUACAAAAUUAAGGCCAGAACAGAGUAAAAACUCCAAAGCUCAUAAAGUAAAGGCAUAAAAUUCCUUAUCAACAAGAUUUUAAUUUUAUCAAAUAAUACCCAUAUUGUAUAUAUAUAUAUAUAUAUAUAUAUGAAAUUAUAAGGUAAAAACAUGUAUAAUUAUAUAUAAACGUGUAUACGAGUAUGUACGCAUGUAUAUAUACAUAUAUAUGUACGUGUGUUUUUUUUUUUCUUUUUCUUUUUUUUUUUCUUGGUUUCUACAAUUUUUUUUUUUUUUUUGAAAAAUAUGUUUUGUUCAUUAUAUGUUUAAUAAAUAGUAUUCUAAAAAUAUUAAAAAAUAAAAC